GAUGAACGCUGGCGGCGUGCCUAAUACAUGCAAGUCGAGCGAACGGACGAGAAGCUUGCUUCUCUGAUGUUAGCGGCGGACGGGUGAGUAACACGUGGAUAACCUACCUAUAAGACUGGGAUAACUUCGGGAAACCGGAGCUAAUACCGGAUGAUAUUUUGAACCGCAUGGUUCAAAAGUGAAAGACGGUCUUGCUGUCACUUAUAGAUGGAUCCGCGCUGCAUUAGCUAGUUGGUAAGGUAACGGCUUACCAAGGCAACGAUGCAUAGCCGACCUGAGAGGGUGAUCGGCCACACUGGAACUGAGACACGGUCCACACUCCUACGGGAGGCAGCAGUAGGGAAUCUUCCGCAAUGGGCGAAAGCCUGACGGAGCAACGCCGCGUGAGUGAUGAAGGUCUUCGGAUCGUAAAACUCUGUUAUUAGGGAAGAACAUAUGUGUAAGUAACUGUGCACAUCUUGACGGUACCUAAUCAGAAAGCCACGGCUAACUACGUG
This 497-nucleotide ribosomal RNA is filed under the name uncultured bacterium. RNAcentral describes it as "partial 16S ribosomal RNA". It matches the Rfam family "Bacterial small subunit ribosomal RNA", at positions 28 to 507 of the family's 1533-position model. The record is from RNAcentral.